Molecule: ribosomal RNA, 585 nt
Filed under: Triticum aestivum (bread wheat)
Lineage: Eukaryota; Viridiplantae; Streptophyta; Magnoliopsida; Poales; Poaceae
Description: partial small subunit ribosomal RNA
Source: RNAcentral
AUGGCGGAGGAAUCGUGGAGCAACUCCCCUCCGUCUACCAAGCAUCACUGUGGUGAGGCGUCUGGCAAGGAGCCCCUGGUGGUCGACGACGAUGUUCCGGUCCCCGGGCAGAAGCGGGACUACACCGUGCCGCUCAAGGUUGUAAUCCACCUGAAGGAGCCGCUGGAUGUCGUACGCACCAGCAAUCCAGACAAAGCCGACAAGAUGAUCCGCAAGAUGAGGAGGAGGCUCGGCGGCAUGCUUUCUCGGAAUAUCGGUGUUGAUGUCGAGUAUACCAGGGAAGACAAACCUCCGCAAAUUGCUGCAGUUCUGCAGUUAUGCGUGGAGGAUCUCGUCCUGGUAUACCACAUCACCGCGGCAACCAAAUGGCCCAAGGAACUCCGCCCGCUCCUGCAGGAGAAGAAGUUGUACACCUUUGUUGGCUUCUGCAUUAGAGGCGACAAGGAGAAGCUGAAGUUGUCUGGUUUGGAGAUCAACCCCAACAAGUACGUCGACUUGCAGCGCAAAUGGAGAGUUCCAAACAAUGGAAAGAAGUGGCAGUCUUUGGCUGAGUUUGCAGCCAGCCUCAUCCACCCGUCCUACUAA